UACGGAGGGUGCGAGCGUUAUCCGGAUUCACUGGGUUUAAAGGGUGCGUAGGUGGGAAUGUAAGUCAGUGGUGAAAUCUCCGUGCUUAACAUGGAAACUGCCAUUGAUACUAUGUUUCUUGAAUUUUCUGGAGGUAAGCGGAAUAUGUCAUGUAGCGGUGAAAUGCUUAGAUAUGACAUAGAACACCAAUUGCGAAGGCAGCUUGCUACAGGGAUAUUGACACUGAGGCACGAAAGCGUGGGGAUCAAACAGG
RNAcentral lists this ribosomal RNA (253 nucleotides) under uncultured bacterium. RNAcentral's name for it is "partial 16S ribosomal RNA". It matches the Rfam family "Bacterial small subunit ribosomal RNA", at positions 524 to 776 of the family's 1533-position model. The record is from RNAcentral.